UGGGGAAUAUUGGACAAUGGGCGAAAGCCUGAUCCAGCCAUGCCGCGUGUGUGAAGAAGGCCUUUUGGUUGUAAAGCACUUUAAGCGAGGAGGAGGCUACUUAGAUUAAUACUCCAGGAUAGUGGACGUUACUCGCAGAAUAAGCACCGGCUAACUCUGUGCCAGCAGGCGCGGUAAUACAGAGGGUGCGAGCGUUAAUCGGAUUUACUGGGCGUAAAGCGUGCGUAGGCGGCUUUUUAAGUCGGAUGUGAAAUCCCUGAGCUUAACUUAGGAAUUGCAUUCGAUACUGGGAAGCUAGAGUAUGGGAGAGGAUGGUAGAAUUCCAGGUGUAGCGGUGAAAUGCGUAGAGAUCUGGAGGAAUACCGAUGGCGAAGGCAGCCAUCUGGCCUAAUACUGACGCUGAGGUACGAAAGCAUGGGGAGCAAACAGG
This 430-nucleotide ribosomal RNA is filed under the name Bacillota bacterium. Its description in RNAcentral is "Firmicutes bacterium partial 16S ribosomal RNA". It matches the Rfam family "Bacterial small subunit ribosomal RNA", at positions 355 to 776 of the family's 1533-position model. The record is from RNAcentral. Lineage: Bacteria; Bacillati; Bacillota.